AUUUCCAAGCUCACAGUCCAUAGAUACAGGGCGCUCGCGUUGAAUGCAAUGGAGACCACCCGUCUAGACCCUGAAACUCUGCAACCCCAGAAGCCUUGCGAUCAGAUUACAGACCCCAGCAUUUUCAGAGUAAAAGUACGAUUAUAUUAGGGGCGGGGGAGGGGGAAUCAAAGUUUGGUGACCGCACUUCAUUGUUGAAAAGAAAACCGAUGCAAAGACUCCAGCACGAGUAAACGAUUUCUGAAGUGUAUGCUAGAGCAGAGCGUUGCUAUCAACUUAGGUACGUUCUAAUUUUCCUCCAGGUGCUGUAAACGUACCUUUGCAAAUAUUAUUGCUCUAAUUAGAAGGAAACUAUUCCACAUACGGUUAAAACGAGGCCGGCAGAAGUGUGCUUCAUUUCCGAACUUGACCCCUUAACCUGCACCUCAAGCUCAUUUUUAUUGCUACCCACUGAGCCCUGCUCUCCACGCACCGGUUGCACCAGCCCUGCCGACCCGUACGUUCGCGGUCUCCGCUGGGAUGGCUGGAAAGGAAGCGAGAAAGUCACGGAAGAACUUACCUGAAACGAUCCCAUUCGACAGGAACCCCAGCUGGUAAAGGAGGCAGCAGCAGCAGAUGAGUUUCCGAGGCCGAGCAGGCUAGUGCUGGAGCCCCACAAGACAGACCCACAGCCAGCCGAGAGCCGGGAGUGCUGCCUCUGGACAGGCAGAGGACUGCCCGGCGCGGGCAGGAGAGCUGUGGUGUCCGAGCCGAGGCUCGCCGCCUGCACCCGCGCGGAACGGGCGGAGGCUGGUGUCACAGUCUCAGCAACUUGGUGUGCCAAGCUCCGCACACUCCUCACGCUCCUUAGGACGCACCGCUGAAGGCUCUCACCCGCAGCGGCGCGGGAGGGAAUGAGUAGGGAGAUGGGAAGACACGACUAGAGAGGUGGGUUGUAGAGCAGAAAAGAAUCAAGCACAUCUGACCAGAAAAAGGGACCAAGGGGUGCCCGCCAAGCGUGACUUUGCGGGACAAAGGUCCCAGAACACCGUGCACGUGCUCAAACGCCGGUUGGGAUGGGGUGGGGACCCAAAAUCCCUCACCUGACUAUUGAUUGGCCACUCGGGAAGGCCUGAUUUGCAUCCAUCCCCUGCCCCCGUGUGCAGGUAGAGGUGCCUCCCCCUUCCCAUCCCACUCCUCAAUCCAGCGCCUCUUUUUGUCAAAUUCGCACAUCACACAAGGCAAAAAUUAGUGCAGACUUGACCACAAAACUGAGGCCUCAUUUAUCAAAGGCCUUUGAUUUGUCUUCCCAUCUUUUUCGGAAUUUUCUAAGCCCGGAGAUAAUGUAAUUCGUCAUGGAAUAUGCUUUAAAGUUUCCCAGGACAGUAGGCACCCUUAGGUUUCAGAGCCUCUUUUCCUUCCUUGUCUUUCUAGCUCCCCAUUCAUCAGUACUAUCAGUUUCUCUCCUUCCCCUACCCCACCCCAUUACACACACACACACACACACACACACACACACACACACACGAGUCCUAAAAGGAGUAAGAGUAAGGGAAUCAACAUUAAACAUUAUAUUCUAAAGAUCUCAGACCAGGUGAGAUUAUUUUGUCUUCUGUACUUUUUACUUGUACAUAAAAAAAUAUGUUUUUGCUGUUUCUGUCCUCUUUGGGGCAAUUCAACCCCAUAUAUUUUUUUUUCCUUUGUUGCAAUUCUCUUCAUGGUACCUACUCCCCUUUCCACAACUCUCCCUCAGCCACAUCAAAGCGUUCACAUCCGAUUUAAGGAUGAUUGAUCUGAACUGCCAUUUGCAUCCUCUGGACUAGGCCAGACACCUAGAAAUGAUAAUUAAUGCAAAUCAGUUUUUUUUUUUUUUAAUUCCAGAACUGAGGUUGGUUCACCACUUCCUUUGUUAUUUUACCUUCUGUUCCUUGUGUCAAAGGUGACUACUAUGCCUUUAAGGGAAGCAGACGAUCUUAUUUCAAAGGAAAGCCAUUGUUUGAAUUAGCUGAGUCCUAUAAUACUUUCUUUGAGUUGUCCAGAGUUUAGAAACAAAGGCAAAAACACUCAAGGUGACUUUGUCAAGAGUGAUCUGCCUCUAAACGCUGUCUUAUAAAAUCUCUAAUGCUGGAGUAACUAACAUGUGGGUUUCCAGAUGCUCAAGAAAUAUCUGGGUUACUUAGAAACCUAAAUGCUUUUUUUCAUGAGACUCAAUUUUACAGAUUUAAAGCUAGGCAAAAAAUCAGAGGCAGUUUAUUUUUUGAGUAUAGCAAGCUAUUUAGAUUGAAAGCUAAUUUCAAUGAAACACCUCCAGUAGGAGAUGAGUCUUAACACGUUUCUCACACAUAUUUUAACAACAACAACAAAAAGCAGAACUGAAGGAAUAAUGCAUAUUAAAUUGUAUAUAUUUAUUAGAGUACAUUCAUGAUUUUUUAAAACCAAAUGAGUUGUAUAACUAAGUUAAAUAUACUCAGAAGCACAGCUUACCAAUGUAAGUUUGCAUUGCUGCCUUUUUUUCCCACUAAUAUAUAAUCUUUACCAAUCCUUCAUGGUAAAGGUUAAUAUUGUUAUGGAAAGAUUUGUCUAAUUCCCAGAUAACUCUUCUCUUUUUUCCCUUUUGAAAUACUGUUAUAAUUUAUUUACAUAUUUUAGAGACAUUUAUAAGUCAUUUGGGUUUUAAUGACUUAUGUACUUAUUUCUCCUACUAGACUAUCAAUGUUUUUGAAAGGUAGGAAUGAUUUCUUUUAUAUAUCACCCUGACUAAUUCAAGGAUUUACACUGAAUAGGUUCAGAAAUUAUCAGGAAAUUCUCUCCAAGGUGCUUUAGAAAGUGAUAGAAAUUGAUUUGUCUAUGGUAUUUUGUUCCAAUUUGAAUUCCUUGAUCAGGAGUUGCAACACUAACUCUGCUGGUGAUUAGCAACUAUCAACAUGACUUAUCUGGUUUACAGAAGGAACAGGCCUAAGAGAGAAAUGUGUGGGGAAUUUUUGUGCUCUAGGAGAGACUUAGAUAUGCAAGUGAGAGCGUCCGUUAAAGUGAAUUCAAGUACCUAUGUAUAUAAAAGAAAGAACUAGCCUAAUUUGGAAUUGAGUAAACUGUGUGUGGUGAAAUAGAGAAGAAAAGGCAGGACUGAGGCAUGUGUGUGCAUUACCAACCUUAGAGGAAAGAAAAGAGCAGCUGGGAAAAAUAUGUUGGUAAGACAGAUCACUAUAUAUGUCACCAGAUGGUAGCUAGCACCAAUAGAGCACUGCUUUUGUGUUCUCAGAAUAAGGACAGAAGGAGAAGAGGUAAAUGACAAAGCAUCAGAGUAAGUGGAAUCAACUGUUUUGGUGCUGAUAUUGCCAUUUAUAAUCCAGGCUUCUCCAUAUAGAAAGUUGGCCUUGAUGCUGUCAAAUCUCCCUUAUUCUCUUCACUCACUGGUACUAAGCCCCUCACAACCUAAUCUUACCCUAGGUUAAAAUUAACCUAAGCUAAUCUUAAAUCCACCCGCCCUCCCCCAACCAAAUUCUUAAAAUCUUGAGAAAAUACAAAGAACCCUUUCACUGAGUUCCAUGAAGAUACCAACUCCCAGUAGAACUCACAUCUAAAUUGACAUCAAGUCCUAAGCUAGUUCUGGCCAUAAUGGAAUUACAGGGACCAUAGUUAACUCUCACCUUAGGAAAUUAGAAAACAUAAUAAAAGUUUUUAGACAUUGGACAACAGGCAGCCUAGGGUUAUGACUUAGGAGAGAAGAGAAGUAAAUGAAUUGAUCACUACAAUUUCCCCAGCUUACAACCUGGAGGCAGUUUCAGGACUUAACACAGAGAGAAGAAAGCCAAACAGAGCCCUGAAGACAAGCUGAGUUGAGGAGGCAGAGAAGGAGGCUAGAAUUUAUAGGGCAGAGUAUCAGAAAGGAGGGAACUACACAGAGAGUGAAUCAGUUAUCUAUUGCUACAUAACAACCUUAGCAGUUUAAAACAACAAACAAUUUAUCAUCUGACAUAGUUUCUGAGAGUCAGGAAUCGAAGCCUGGAUAAGCCCAGGUAUUUCUGAUUAAGGCUGUCUCUCAAGUUUGCAGUCAAACUCUUGGCCAGAGCUAUAAUUUCAGCAGACUUAACUGGAAGAAGAGGUUCUGCUUUCAAACUCACUUGGUUAUUGACAGGAAGCUCAGCAUCUUGCUACACAGGUUUUCCCAUAGGGGCUGCUCAUUACAUGCAUUCCCCCAGAACAAGUGAUCUGAGAGAGAGAGCACCCAAAAUAUAGCCAUGGUCUUUUUAAACCUAAUCUUGAAAGUGACAUACCACCACUUCUAUCAUAUUCUCAUCAUAAAAAACAAGUCACUAAGUCCAGCCAACAUUCAAAUGGGGAAAUAUCAAAGAAUUUGUGGACAUAUUUUUAAAACCAUCAUUGUCUGCCUUGACCAUAAAUUACUAGAGAACUUCAAAAAGUAUGUGGAAAAUGGAAGUAAAAGGCAAAAAUAAAAAAAAUAUAAACUUUAUUUCUCAACAUAAGCUCCAUCAAGUUCAAGACACUUUUGUAAGCCAUGAUACUAGCCUCUUACCCCAUCCCUGAAGAACUGAAAGCUGUGGGGUAUUUACCCAUGUCAAUGCAGUCUUUUUUACAUUAUUAACUGAAGGAAAUUGAAUGCCUUUUGAAGAUUAAGGUUAGAAAAUAAAGUCAGAAGAAGCCAAAUCAGGACUUGUAAGGUGGAUACCUAAUGAUUUCUCAUCAAAACUCUCACAAAAUUGCCCUUGUUUGAUGAGAGGACUGAGCAGGAGCAUUGUCAUUUGGAGAAGGACUCUGGUGAAGCUUUCCCAGAGAUUUUCUGCUAAAGCUUUAGCUAGCUUUCUCAAAGUACCCUUAUAAUAAGCAGAUGUUAUUAUUCUUUGGCCCUCCAGAAAGUCAACAAGCAAAAUUCCUUGAGCAUCUCAAAAACUGUUGCCAUGACCUUUGCUCUUAAUUGGUCUGCUUUUGCUUUGAAUGGACCACUUCCCCCUCUUGGUAGCCAUUGCUUUGAUUGUGCUUUGUCUUCAGGAUUUUACUGGGGAAGCCACAUUCCAUUUCCUUUUGCAAUUCAUCAAAGAAAUGCUUCAGUGUUUUGGUACCACUGAUUUAAAAUUUCCAUUGAAAGCCCUGCUAUUGUUUGUAGCUGAGCUGGGUGCAAUGGUUUUGGCAGCCAUCAGGUGGAAAGUUUGAUCAAUUUUAAUUUGUUUGGUCAGGAUAAUGUAAAUUGAACCAAUUGAGAUGUCUCUAAUAUUCGCUAUGACAAAGAGAGGAAGGGAGAAUUCUGGAUGUUUUCUGGAAGAACUUUGAAUUAAUUGUCUAUGUUCUGAUUUCUACAUGUAUGUGAAGAAACCACCUACAGCAUAGGGUGAGUGGUGGGACGGGGAGGCAUAAAGCGUUAAAGGCCAAAGAAUACUCCAAAUGUGAUGAGUUCCAACUGGCUAGAGUGGAAGGUCAUCAUAAUACAAGGGGUACUAGAUAAUGUUCUUAGAAAAGCAUCUGCUUAGUAAUAAAAUUAAAUUAGCCUUGUAAUUAAGGUUUCAUGUGGGCCUAUCUCAACAAGGCUUAAAAGAUAGCUGCAAAAUGGUUCAUCUGUUUCCUAGUAAUUUAAUUUCCUGCUAGAACAAGGUCCAUUUUACUUAAUAAUUAUUAUUAUAUAUAUAGAUAUAUACUUUUUCAUUUAGACAGGGUCUCACUUCAUUGCCCAGGCUGGAGUGCAGUGGCUCAAUCAUGGCUCACUGCAAUCUUGACCUCCUGGGCUUAAGCAGUCCCUUCACCUCAGCAUCCUGAGUAGCUGGGACUACAGGCAUACACCACCAUGCCUGAUUAAUUUUUGUAUUUUUGGUAGAGAUGGAGUUUUGCCAUGUUGCCCAGGUCGGUCUCAAACUCCUGGACUCAAGCAAUCCACCUGUCUCAGCCUCCCAAAGGGCUAGGGUACAGGCAUGCGACACCGCACUUGGCUAGGAAUAAUAAUAUUUUAAAACAACAACAACAACAAUGUAAAGUUUUCAUUCUCUGGAAAUCCAAUUAUAAAUUCCAAGCAUGGGAAAAAAAUGACUCAUAACAAGGAGAAAAGUCACUUAGUAAAAACAGAUCCAGACAUGACAGAAGUAAUAAAAUAAGCCAACAAAAACAUUAAACAGCUAUUACAGAUAUGCUGUAAAUGUAUAUGAAGAUAGAGGAAAGCAUGAACCUGAUCAAGAGUGACAUAAAAAGACCCAAUUUGAAAUUAUAGAGAUGGAAAAUACAAUAUUUUACAUGAAAAAUGUACUGGGUGGUAUUGACAGCAGAUUAGAUACUGCCAAAAAAAGUAUCUGUGAACUUGAAGACAUAGCAAAAGAAACUAACUAUCCAAAGUGAAGCACAGAAAGAAAAAGAUAAGAGUUGACUUGAGUGUUGGUGAACUGUGGGAUAAUAACGAGAUAUCUAAUAUAUAAGUACUUGGAGUUUUAGAAGAAGAGGAGAAAUGGAAAUGGGAAGAGAAACUAUUUGAAAAAAUAAUGGCUGAAAAUUUUCCAAAUUUGAUGAAAACUAUAAUGUAUACAUGCAAGCAUAACAUACUUAAUAAAACUUUGCCAAGGCAUAUCUUAAGCAAAUUGCUAAAAACAGAAAGGAAAUAGAAAAUGUGAAAAGCAGCCAGAGGAAAAAGACAGAUUAUCUAUAGAAACAAAGUUAAGAAUGACAGCAAACUUCUCCUCAAAACUUAUGCAAACAAGAAGACAUAUACAGUCAUGUACCUCAUAUAAGCAUAUUUUAGUCAACAGCAGAACACAUAUAUGACAGUGGUCCCAUAAUAUUAUAUCAUAUUUUUAAUUCACCUUUCUCUGUAGGUAUGUUUAGAUAAACAAAUACUUAGGAUUAUUUUACAAUUGCCUACAGCGUUUAGUAUAGUAAUAUGCUGUACAGGUUUAUAGCAAAGGAGAUAUAGGCUAUACCAUACAGCCUAAGUGUGUCAUAGAAUACAUCAUGUAGGUUUGUAUAAGAACACUCUAUGAUGUUUAAACAGCAAUUAAAUUACCUAAUGAUGCAUUUCUCAAAAUGUAUCCUCUGCUGGGUGCCAUGACUCAUCCCUGUAAUCCCAGCAAUUUGAGAGGCCAAGAUGGGUGGAUCACCUGAGGUCAGGAGUUCAAGACCAGCCUGGCCAACAUGGUGAAACCACGUCUCUACUAAAAAUAUAAAAAAUUAGCCAGACAUGGUGGCGGGUGCCUGUAAUUCCAGCUACUUGGGAGGUGGAGGCAGGAGAAUCGCUUGAACCUAGGAGGCAGAGCUUUCGGUGAGCUGACAUCACGCCAUUGCACUCCAGCCUGGACAACAAGAGCCAAACUUCAUUUCAAAAAAUAAAUAAAUAAAAAUGUAAUUUUUCAUCAAUAAGUGUUGCAUGACUGUAUGUAGAUAUUCUCAAUAAAAUCCUUUAACAGAUACAUAGUUUGUAAAUAUUUUGUCCUAGUUUGUAGCUUGCCCUUUAUUUACUAAAUGAUAUCUUAAAGAGCAAAAGUUUUUAAUUUUGAUGAAGUCCAAUUUAUUAAUUUGUCCUUUAUAGAAUGUCUUUCUGGUUUUCUAAGAAGUGUUUCCUAAGCCAAGAUCAAAUCCUUUUCUCCUACUUUUUUUCUAGAUCUAAAAUUUUUACUCUUAAUUUUAGGACUAUUAUCCAUUUUGACCUAAUUUUGAUAAAUGAGGUAGGAUAAGCAUCAAGGUUCAUAUUUUUGUAUAUAGAUAGCCAACAUUAUUAGUAACUAGGACAAUGCACGUUAAGUGCAAAUUGAACCCACAAGGAGACAACACUACACACCUAUUAGAGUGAAUAAAAAUUAUCUACAUUACCAAAUGUUUGCAAGGGUGUGGAACACCUGAAACUCUCAUGCAUUGUUCAUGUGAAAGCAUUAGCAUAGACACUUUGGAAAACAGUUUGACAGAUUCUUAUGAUUCUUAAAUAUACAUUUACCCAACAACUCACCAACACAAUUCCUAGAUAUUUACCCAAGAAAAAUUAAUGUAGGUAUACACAAGACUUUCAUGUGAAUUUUAUGUCAGCUUUAUUUAUAAUGGCCCCAAACUAAAAACCUAUAUGUCAAUCAACUGAUGAAUAGAUAGACAAAUUGUAGUAGAUUGCAGAACAUAAGUCAGCAAUGAAAAGAAAAGAACCAUUGAUGCAUGCAAAAAUGGAUGAAUUGCAAAAGCAUUAUUCUAAGUGAAAGAAGCUUCCCUUUAUAUGAAAGUGGAGAAAAGAUAAUACUGAAGUAAUUAAAGCAGUUCAGUCCCAGGAGCUAGGGAUGGUCUUGGGGGCAAAGAGGGAAAAGGGCUAUGAGGGAACUAUUUUAGGUGAUAAAAAUCUUCUUUAUCACAAUUAAGGUACUCAUUACACAACUGUAUAUAUUUUUCACAAAUCAUUCAAAUAGUACACUUCACAAUGGUUAAAUGUUUUGUAUAUAAAUUAUAUCUCGAUGACUCUAUUUACAGAAAGACUUAAGCUAAAUAUGUGACACUCUCAGUGUUUCAUUUUUAGCCAUUAGUGACUAAAUGUUAAGGGAAUAGGGACCUUCCUCAAGAUUCCACAGGUAAGUGAGAGUCACUAUCAUCCACCCAAAUGCUCGAACCAUGAACCUAAGAAGCCGUCCUUGACUCAUGCUUUUUUUUUUUUUUUUUUUUUUUUUGAGACGGAGUCUCACUCUGUUGCUUAGGCUGGAGUACAGUGGCGCAAUCUUGGCUCACUGCAACCUCCACCUCCUGGGUUCAAGCAAUUCUCUGCCUCAGCCUCCUGCGUAGCUGGGAUUACAGGUGCCCACCACCACACCAGGCUAAUUUUUGUAUUUUUAGUAAAGAUGGGGUUUCACCAUCUUGGCCGGGCUUGUCUUAAACUCCUGACCUCAGGUGAUCCACCUGCUUUGGCCUCCCAAAGUGCUGGGAUUACAGGCGUGAGCCACUGCACCCGGCCAACUCAUGCAUCUUUUUAUCACUCACAUCCAACCAGUCAAGUCAUGGGUUUUUUUUUUUUUUUUUUUUUUUUAAGUUCUGGGAUUCAUGUGUGGAAUGUGUAGGUUUGUUACUUAGGUUUACGUGUGCCAUUGUGGUUUGCUGCACCUAUCAACCCAUCAUCUAGGGUUUAAGCUCCGCAUGCAUUAGAUAUUUUUCCUAAUGCUCUCCCCUUGCCCCCCAACCCACAACUGGCCCGAUGUGAAUUGUUCCCCUCCCUGUGUCCGUGUGUUCUCUUUUUCUUUUCUUUAGCUCCUAAAUUCCUCACCUCUCUCUAGUGCUUCUAGCACUAAGCUGAUGCAGUCAUCUUUCCGUGGUACCACUGCAACACUUUGUUAACCUUUCUCCUGCUUCCACUUUGCUCUACCACAUUCCAAUCUUUACUCUGUGGCCACAGUGAUCAUUUAAAAUGAAAAUAAUAUCCUCUGAUUAAAAUCCUCCUUAUUCUUCACAUACCUUUCUUCUUCGCAAGCAUCAGAAGUACCAAGUUAGGUCUCAUUGCUGCUUUAUGUCAUUAUAGCACGUGGUGUUUCUAUUCAGUCUUCACUGAUAUAGCAUCUAUUUAUAUUAGGCUGGUGCAAAUGGCACCAAAUGGCAAAAACUGCAAUUACAUUUGCACCAACCUAAUAAUUGUCAUUUCAAUAUAUGACUUUGUCCUACCCCCUCACCAUCCCAAAAUUCUGCUCCCUAGAUGCAAUCACUGUUUUGUGCCUUCCAGACUAUUAUGAAAGAAAAAUGUAUUGACGAGUGUCAGCAUAAUAAUAUAUGACACACAAAAUUAAAAGAUAGAAAUAUAUAUAGGCUUCCCUCUCUUUUGCCUUCUAAUGGACAUGUUAAAUCCCCCCUGCUCAGCACCUGGGCCAAGUAAUGGGUGAAAAGAAUGAAAGCUGGUCUUUCAAAUCCUAUUAGUAUGAAGAGCAAUAUUUUUAAAUGAAAAUAAAAAAACUGGGAAGGAAGGAAAAAGAACAAGAAAGAAAAUAGUCUGUGAAAACUGAGUUUUGAGAGUUUUAUUGAAAUUUUCGAGAAAGUAAUACAAAAUGUUGUAGGGGCAACCUCUAUGCAGUGAUAAAAGGGCUUUGGAAAAAGUGAUAAAUAAAAGAGAUUAUUACAAAGUUUUGUUAUGAGUUAUGCAUAUAUGCAUUUAAGGCAUAUGAAAUUUAUUUCUAUUCUUAUUGGGACAGGAGGAGGCAUGUGGGACUUGUGUUUUAUUUCUGAGCGUAGCACAUGGCUGUCUCAGGUUUGUUUGGGUUACAUAUAAAACUCAAUAUAGGAAUUUGUUCUGCCUAAAUAGGUAUUUAAGAUCCUCUCAAUAGUAAAAGAGGUCAAGAUUAAAAAUCUAAAAAUGAGAAUCCCCAACCUUCAAAACAAUAAAGUAUGUUAUUCUCAAAGCAGUAAAGUAUGUUAUAAUAAAGUUCUCUGGCUUUAUGAAAAUAUAAGGCCAUAUUUUAGGCCUUUCCACAUACCACUUAGAUCUUAUAUACAGGAAUUUCAUUGCUACUGAAAGUUUCACUCAUAAUUUACACAGAACCGUUGAGACUCCAAUUCCAAGAUUAAGAAAUACUGAUCCAGGGCCAAGAGCUCCCUGCUUGGACUUUUCCAUUGCAUUCCUUUGAGCUGCAUCCCACUGAGUACCAAUGAUCAUCACUAUAAUGAUCAUUACCUGAAGACUUAAAAUCACUGUGUCUGACACAAAUCUUAAGCUUCUUGCAUUAUACAAUGUGAUACCUUUCUCCCAGUUAGCAAGAUGCUUAAUUCCAACACUAUUUGUAGUGUCAAGUCUUAGAAGGAAUGCCCUCAUUUGCUAAAUAAUCAAUAAAUGUUUAUUGGAUAAUUGAAUGACUGAAACUAAAGACAAUGCCAUCCAUAUCCAUGUCACUGUUUUCCCAGAGGUAAGAGGUUGACUCACAUGAGACUGAUAUAGGCCUUUUUUGUUUACAGUUCUAUGAUUAUUUCAGGUAUUCAAAAUGUGUAUGUGUGUGUGUAAGAGACAGAGAAAGAAACAGAGACAGAGAGAGACAGAAGGGUGAGUAAAAAUGGUUAUCAGAAUUAUUCUUAGACAAAAAGGGGUCCAUUGGCAAAGAAAAAAAGUUUGAACAGUACUCCCUUUAUUUGUUGACUAGAGAUGGGAAGGUAACCAUUAGCAUGAAAUGAAAAUAGAAUUUAAAGUCGAUAGGAUAUUGUGACAUUUGAUUUGUUAAGGUUUUGGCUGACCACUAUUUGACCUCUUUUCUCAUUAUGUGAAUCCCACAGAUGAGAAUUAUGGGAAUCCCCUUCCCAUGUUAUGUAUUAUAGGAAUCCCACAGGUAAGAAUUGUGCUGGUUUGGGGUGGUAAAUGGGGAUUGAUUUCCACUAGAGUAUUAUAAUAGUCUAGGUUUUCAUUCUCAUUAUCUACUGGGGUACAGGUUUAUGACCUCAGCUAAUAGAAUGUCCAUAGGUGGCAAAUCUGAAACAAGUAACACAAAGGUAAGAGCACUUUAGAUUUCCUCUCAACAGAAUUGUCCAGGGAUUGUGGUGGUGAUGGUGCCAGUAGUUUGUUUAGUAUCCUGAGACAAUGCACCAGCAUCUUCACCAGCUGUUCCAGCGGCAGGGGCUUGGCUAUAAUGACAGCUUCCUGUGGUUUCUCCUUGUUUCACAGCUUGGUUUUUUUUAGCCUUCCAUCAAUUCUUUAAUCUACACAAUGACGUCAUUCCAUUAAACUGUUUUUUGCCAAGGUGAGCCGGAAUCCAGUUCUGUUGCUACAAGUAAGAACCAUGACUUAGACAAGUUAGUAUCGGGGAGCAGGUUGCAGUCAAAGGGACCACAGAAAAAUCCAGGGAGUUGUAUGUAGUUAGAGUUGGAGGCCAAGAAUAUUGUUUAUAUUUAUUACUGAGAAUCUGUCAGUCCAUGACACAUCAUGACAAAGAUUUUCUUUAAAUUAUUGUCUGCGAUCUCCUGGAAUUAAAUAAUGCACUGAAAGCAGAAUUAUCUGCAACCAUAUAUUUGCCAUAUAGAAUAUAAGAAUUUUGGGGUCGGGUAUCUACUUCUAAUGGCCUUACAAAAGGCCAAUGAGAGGCCCAAAUUUCAAAGUUAUCAGCUUAAAGCGCGUGCUGAAACUCACGGGCUUUCUAUGAGUGGACUAAAUAAUCUCUAACUUCCAUUCAGUUCAGAACUUCCUUGGUGUAUUGGUGAAGAAAAAAAUCAAAGGCCAGGAGAUUGCGAUGCUAGAGAGCAUUGAUCAUAUGAAAUUUAUGACUCUCAAGAAGGUCUAGAAACUACUCCUUUCUCCAAGGCCUUGAGAAAUGACAGGAGUUGAUGAGAGGCUUAUCAGCAUAUUUAAAAAUACACUAGUGGCUCCUCUUUGAGGCUGCCAGUGCUGAUAUGGGAUGCAGUUGAAAUGGUCUCCCUGACUCCAAUGUGGCAAUUAAAAUCCUGGGUGACAUAGCGGCACUUAAUCUCAGAGGCAAAGUAGAUUUGUUACUGGCAAGAUAAUCCAAAUGGCCUGACCCACAGAGAUUUGGGUGGUUGCUAAUAUAUCAUAGGCUUGUUAGAGGCAAAAUGAACAGGCAGCUUCCUAGAGCCACCUAUUUUUUCUGGGUUAAAAAAACAUAAAAACAAAACAGAACAAGAAAACAAAAAUAUCCUCUAGGUCUGACCACCCAUUAUAAGAGAAGAUAAUCGUUUUAUUACUGAAUUCUCAAGCCUGGCUCAGUCAGAUAGUCCACAGGCCCUUGAAUGAAGGAAAACCUGGACGGCCCUGAGAAGACCUGAUGAUAAUAUUUUGCUGAAUGCGUACUAUGAAUAGAAAUACUAUGGAAUUGGAAGAUCAGGAGUUUUCCUGACAUAUAAGUUUGCAGGUACCUGC
RNAcentral lists this long non-coding RNA (12766 nucleotides) under Homo sapiens (human). RNAcentral describes it as "HSALNT0329438". The record is from RNAcentral. Lineage: Eukaryota; Metazoa; Chordata; Mammalia; Primates; Hominidae.